GUGCUAAAAGCAUGGUGGGAAAGUGACGUGUAAUUCGUCCACAUUACUUGAUACGGUUAUAGUCCGAAUGCCACCUAGCACAAAGUAGAGCAAGGAGACUCAAUGAUUAGAAUAAUUCU
RNAcentral lists this non-coding RNA (119 nucleotides) under unclassified sequences. The record is from RNAcentral.